This 76-nucleotide small nucleolar RNA is filed under the name Dryobates pubescens (Downy woodpecker). RNAcentral describes it as "Picoides pubescens (downy woodpecker) Small nucleolar RNA SNORD47". It matches the Rfam family "Small nucleolar RNA SNORD47". From Rfam's summary of the family: U47 belongs to the C/D class of snoRNA which contain the C (UGAUGA) and D (CUGA) box motifs. Lineage: Eukaryota; Metazoa; Chordata; Aves; Piciformes; Picidae. The record is from Rfam by way of RNAcentral.
AGCCACUGAUGAAAUUCGAUUCUGCCAAAUGAAUUCCUGUGAUAUUAACCAUUUCCGUUCCACAUUGUCUGAGGUU